GGCAGCUUACAUCAAGGGCGUUACAGUUACGUCACGGAUCGAUCGCAGAAUACCUUACAGGACCGAACCCCAGUGGAACGCUCGAGAAGCAGAAAAUUAUCGCUUUAGCGUGCAACGUCAAUGGAAGUCGAACUGAAACAGUACUUCAAUACGCCGAUUAGGCGCGUUCGCCACCUUUCAGCUGAAUGAAAUUUUGUCACGAUCAUUACCUGGUCAUCGUACGGGUGAGCUUUAAUCGAUCAACGGGACUCCAUGUGAAGCAAAGCAAAUGCAUAAGAAACUAUUUGUCAUAGUUGCUGAGAGAAACGUUGACGAAACGAACUUGAGAACUAGAAGGAAGAAGAAAAACUUAGGAUGAUGGUUUUUCCUUCAAAAUCUUCGAGACAGUCUGGACAAUUCAGGAUGAAACGCAUUUAGCCGCCAUAUUUUUUUUUGAGUGUUCAACAAAAAGUACCAAAGCAUGAAGGCCAAGCCUCAUCCUGAUGGACAAAUUGUUUCUUUCUAAAUAUAGUGUCCUAACAUGCCAACACAUUUCUAUUCGGAUUUAUGGUAUAUACUGUUGUCUGGAGGAUCAGGAGCGAAUCCACCCGAAAAUGCAUCAGUGAUCUAUUCUAUUGAUUAGAAAUUAAGUGUAAUCUCGGCUAAGAAUUAUGGCCUUAACUGCCUUGCGAAGGCAA
Long non-coding RNA from Varroa destructor (honeybee mite), 677 nucleotides. RefSeq lists it as uncharacterized. The record is from RefSeq and is a predicted model, not a curated record. NCBI's taxonomy places the organism in Eukaryota, Metazoa, Arthropoda, Arachnida, Mesostigmata, Varroidae.